RNAcentral lists this ribosomal RNA (492 nucleotides) under uncultured bacterium. Its description in RNAcentral is "partial 16S ribosomal RNA". It matches the Rfam family "Bacterial small subunit ribosomal RNA", at positions 29 to 507 of the family's 1533-position model. The record is from RNAcentral.
AGUGAACGCUGGCGGUAGGCCUAACACAUGCAAGUCGAACGGCAGCACAGUAAGCGCUUGCUCUUACGGGUGGCGAGUGGCGGACGGGUGAGGAAUACAUCGGAAUCUACUUUUUCGUGGGGGACAACGUAGGGACACUUACGCUAAUACCGCAUACGACCUACGGGUGAAAGCAGGGGAUCUUCGGACCUUGCGCGAUUGAUUGAGCCGAUGUCGGAUUAGCUAGUUGGCGGGGUAAAGGCCCACCAAGGCAACGAUCCGUAGCUGGUCUGAGAGGAUGAUCAGCCACACUGGAACUGAGACACGGUCCAGACUCCUACGGGAGGCAGCAGUGGGGAAUAUUGGACAAUGGGCGCAAGCCUGAUCCAGCCAUACCGCGUGGGUGAAGAAGGCCUUCGGGUUGUAAAGCCCUGUUGUUGGGAAAGAAAAGCAGCAGGUUAAUACCCCGCUGUUCUGACGGUACCCAAAGAAUAAGCACCGGCUAACUUCGUG